Molecule: ribosomal RNA, 497 nt
Filed under: uncultured bacterium
Lineage: Bacteria
Description: partial 16S ribosomal RNA
Rfam family: Bacterial small subunit ribosomal RNA
Source: RNAcentral
GAUGAACGCUGGCGGCGUGCCUAAUACAUGCAAGUCGAGCGAACAGACGAGGAGCUUGCUCCUCUGACGUUAGCGGCGGACGGGUGAGUAACACGUGGAUAACCUACCUAUAAGACUGGGAUAACUUCGGGAAACCGGAGCUAAUACCGGAUAAUAUAUUGAACCGCAUGGUUCAAUAGUGAAAGACGGUUUUGCUGUCACUUAUAGAUGGAUCCGCGCCGCAUUAGCUAGUUGGUAAGGUAACGGCUUACCAAGGCAACGAUGCGUAGCCGACCUGAGAGGGUGAUCGGCCACACUGGAACUGAGACACGGUCCAGACUCCUACGGGAGGCAGCAGUAGGGAAUCUUCCGCAAUGGGCGAAAGCCUGACGGAGCAACGCCGCGUGAGUGAUGAAGGUCUUCGGAUCGUAAAACUCUGUUAUUAGGGAAGAACAGAUGUGUAAGUAACUAUGCACGUCUUGACGGUACCUAAUCAGAAAGCCACGGCUAACUACGUG